RNAcentral lists this ribosomal RNA (114 nucleotides) under uncultured eukaryote. RNAcentral describes it as "partial small subunit ribosomal RNA". The record is from RNAcentral.
UUUACCCGAAGGUGGUGCGCUAACCUAGCAAUAGGAGGCAGCCAACCACGGUAGGGUCAGCGACUGGGGUGAAGUCGUAACAAGGUAGCYGUAGGUGAACCUGCAGAAGGAUCA